This is a non-coding RNA of Ixodes scapularis (black-legged tick), 82 nucleotides long. NCBI's taxonomy places the organism in Eukaryota, Metazoa, Arthropoda, Arachnida, Ixodida, Ixodidae. The record is from Rfam.
GCAGUCGUGGCCGAGGGGUUAAGGCGAUGAACUAGAAAUCCAUUGAGGUCUCCCCGCACAGGUUCAAAUCCUGUCGACUGCU